AUUUAUCCUGUGAUCUGCUAAGCAUUUACUUUGACUCAUGUUCCUGUUUAUGACCACAGACUUUGUUUUCUGACUUUGCCCUUUUUGCUCUGCCCUGUGGAUUGUUUAUUUGGUUACUGCUUUUUGGAAUUUUGACUCUUGCCUGUGUUUGGACCAUGUUUUUGCCUUUUCCCUUUUGGACUGUUCGCCUGGUGAAUACCUCACCUGCAAUGCAGAUGGCAGACCCGGAGGUGUUUCAAAAAGCUCUGACAGAGCAAGGGCUGUUUCUCAGAAGACACCAACAGAGUUCUGGAAUGGGCAACAACUAGUUGGAGUAACAUUCAUAGUCUCUGCUAUUCCCAAUACCUUAAGGAGUUCAAGACUGUCUUUGAUCAUCAGUAUGAAGGCAAUGUUAAUGGGGAACUAUUAACGAAGUUACAUCAGGGAACUUCCACUGUGGUGGACUACUCUCUCAUUUCCAUACUUUAGCCGCUAGCAGUGGAUGGAAUGAGGCUGUGCUUAUGGUAAAUUUAUGUCAAGGGCUGAACCCUGAGAUACUGACUGAACUUGCCUGUAAAGACAACGACCUGAACAUGGACCAGCUCAUCACUCUGGCAGUUCACUUGGAUCAUCUAUUGCAUCAACACAAUGUCAACAACAGGAAGAACUAUCAAAAGACUAGCCACCAGACCAAGAACAACAACAGAACACAACGAUACAUCUGAACCUAUGCAGUGUGUUUCCUCCCGUUUGACACCCGGAGAGAGAAUGCGCUGGAUGAGAGAAUAUCUAUGCUGGUAUUGUGGUAGAGCCAUUUACUGAUGAGUUUAUUGUAUACCGUCAUCCCAAAUCUGUUUUCAGCCCUGAUGGAUUCCAGAACGGAAGGAAAUUUUAUACAUGCCUGACUCGUGGAACAGAUGCAGAUACCAGUGCAAGAACUCAAGAUGCCAUUAAAGGUGGUGGCACUGGAUGGAGGACCAGUGGGCAUGGGAUUCAUCUCCAAAGUGACUCAAUCACUGGAAAUCCAAACCAGUGCUCUUCAUAAGGAAACCCUAUCCUUUUUGGUACUAGAACAAUCCAAGUUUGAGAUAUUAGGUCUGACUUGGUUAGACAUUCAUCCAUUUCCUGGUCUGAUCACAUGGUCCUCAGAUAGUCAGAUUUUUGUUUUCACUCAUGUUUGACUCGACCUUCCUUAUCGGUCUCUCUACUUCAGUUGAAAGCCUGAAUGCUGACCUCACAGUCCAAGUCCCUACAGAAUAUCUAGACUUAAGACGUAUUUAAUAAAUAUAAUGCUACCAAAUUA
This is a long non-coding RNA of Pygocentrus nattereri (red-bellied piranha), 1282 nucleotides long. RefSeq lists it as uncharacterized. Lineage: Eukaryota; Metazoa; Chordata; Actinopteri; Characiformes; Serrasalmidae. The record is from RefSeq and is a predicted model, not a curated record. The transcript is spliced from 3 exons.